CUAGCACUACUGAACAUAUACUGUGUUGCAGGUGCCACUCAUAUGAAUGAACUCACUGGAACUUCACAGCAACCUUAUGAGUAGGGAUGAUUUUGAAAGAUGUUGAGACUGAGGCAUAUCUUGCCAACAAGAUAGUGCUUCUAGACAUGGCCUCAGAGCGGAGUGGAAGCAGAGGGAAUCGAGAGACUUCAAUGCACCAGGAACUGUUCCUUGACAAGCUUAUUUCUCAUUUGUCUUCAUCAGAAGGAUUUCGAGACUGGAACAUUGAAUAGGCUGCUCACUGACAGCUGAUGGGAAGAUUAGUGAUCAAAGGUUGGAGAUAUUUGGAAAGGGAAUGUGCUCUGCUAUGGGGGUUGAUGGGAGAAUGAAGAGGAACUCUAAGCCCUCAAAUAGACAUGAUUUAAGCUAAAAGCCCAAGAAGCUGCUGUGGGGGAAGGAGAACAAGGGAUUCCGUCUCCUCCUGGAGGCUGCAUUGUGCGUCUGUCCAGGGAAGUGCAGGCGGCCCUCUUCAGAAAUGUGGAGUAGCCAAGUGGUGCUCUUGAGAAAGCCAAUUACAAGGGGCUUCUGACAUUUUAGCUCAGCUCCAUCUGAGGAGAAAACACAUUUGUUAGUGAAACAAACUGCAUGAGGAAGUCAUGGCCUUUGUGAAGAGACCGAGUGUUCAAAACGUGAUUCUUCUGGUUCUGUCAUAAUCAUUUGUCAGAGUUUGUUUCAUAUUUUUUUCUAGCCUCGAUGAAUUCAGCAUAUUUUUUCUAGCCUCAACGAAUUUGGGUCUUUCCAUCGAAUUUCAAUCAAGAUGUGAGGAUUGUGGAGAUUUUUAACUUUUUAGUUCGACUACAUGAGGCCGACAAAGCUAUUAAUUCCUCUCACAUGCAUCAGUCCCUAAUCUCCUCAAACUCUUCCCUCAGAGUCUACUGAUUCAUUCCAGAAACAAGAGCAUAGACCUCAUCAGAUUCUAUACUUGAAUUUGAAGAGGCCCACAGUGAAGCUUGAAGGAAAACGAAAGACUCUUGUUGAUGGAUAGUGUUGGAGAAGUCUAAACAGAAAUGUCUGUGGCCAGGAAGAAUGCCUCGUUGGGGACACUCUGGAAGACCAGCGUGUGUUCAGACAGAAUGAGGAGAGCUUCCCUAGAGAGAGGUAGUGGCUGAGGCUCUAACUUUGAGUUCUAACCCUGUCCUCCUAUUUAAGGUGAAAUGAAGCUCUGAACAAGAGUUUUCCUCUUCUGGAAUCUCAAAAUAUUAAACCUGAUAAGAACCUGAAUGCUGUCUAAAGCAGACCUUUCCUUUUAUAGGUCAGGAACACAGAAGAUCCCAGAGGUACCGUGACUUGUCUGCAGUUGCAGAGCUGCUUUGGGACAGGUACAGAAGCAGCCUGAGAUUCUCCCAACACCUAGGUCACCUCUGCCCAGUGACAAAGGUUCUCUCCUUCAAACCUUACUCAGGCUCCUCUGACUGCCUCUGAUCUCUCUUCUCAAAUAGGCCUUGAUUUCGGGGGCUUCUGUGUUUGUCUCUGCAUGUCCAAUUUUAGUGAGAGAUCCUGCUAAGUUGGUUUAGACAGACUCUCCCACUCUCGAUGCCUCGUGCCCCCCACAGUGCUGUCUGGUCACCCUGGUCUGCCUCCACAAGAUUUCUGUCAGGUUAGUAUUGUCAAAAUCCUUCCUGACCCCUCUUAGGGAAGUUUUCUCUUGGUAACUUAUUUUUUUUUUUUGAAGAUUUUAUUGAUUGAUUGAUUUGAAAGAGAGAGAAUGAGCAGUGGGGAGGAGCAGGGGGAAAGAUGAGGAGGAGGAGAGAGAAGCAGACCCCCUGCUGAGCGGAAAGCCCCAUGAGGGACUCAAUCUCAGGACCCCGAGAUCAUGACCUGAACUGAAGGUUAGGUGACCUUUAGAGGCUGCCCCCACUCCAAUGAUCCACCCCUAGUUACCCUUGAAAUUUCCAGUUUCUGGAAACCCUAGAAACCUAGGGGUUACCCUGGUAACCCCUAGUUACCCUUGAAAUUUCCAGUUUCUGGUAAUAUUAUUUUUCAAUGCUGGGGACAUGUACACUCAUUUUUUAAAAAUUAAUGUGUUUAGUUAAAUGUUAUUAAUGCCAAAAUAGAAAAAGGCAAGUCUAAAUUACAGAAUAUUUUGAAAGAAGUUGAUUUAAUAGCAGUUUAGUAGAGGGGAAAAAGCAGAUGUUGGGGGCUGGAUAAAAAUGAGCUGUAAUCUGUUGGUGGGAAUGCAAACUGGUGCAGCCACUCUGGAAGACAGUAUGGAAGUCAAAAAGCUAAAAAUAGAGCUACCCUAUGACCUAGCAAUUGCACUACUAGGUAUUUAUCUAAAUGAUACAAACAUAGUGAUUUGAUGCGCCACAUGCACCCCGAUGUUUAUAGCAGCAAUGUCCCCAGCAGCCAAACUAUGAAAAGAGCCCAAGUGUCCAUCGACAGAUGAAUGGAUAUAGAAGAUGUGGUGUAUGUAUACAAUGAGAUACUACUCAGCCAUCAAAAAGAAUGAAACCUUGCCAUUUCCCAUGACAUGGAUGGAACUAGAGGGUGUUGUGCUAAGUGAAAUAAGUCCAAUAGAGAAAGACAGUUAUCAUAUGAUCUCACUCAGAUGAGGAAUUUAAGAAACAAAACAGCUGAACAUAGGGGAAGGGAAGGAAAAAUAAAAUAAGAGGAAAACAGAGAGGGAGGCAAAACAGGGGGAGGCAAACCCUCCCUUAAUUCUAGGGAACAAAGUGAGGGUCACUGGAAAGGAGAUGGGUGGGGAGAUGGGGUAACUAGGGGAUGGCAUUAAGGAGGGCACUUCAAGUAAUGAGUACUGGGUGUUGUAUGCAACUGAUGAAUCACUGAGUUCUACCUCAGAAACUAAUGAUUACACAUCUGUUAAUUAAAUUGAAAUUAAAAAUUAAAACAAAAAAGAAUAAGCUGUAAUCAGCAUAGGAGUUCCUCUGUGUUUUUCCAAAGGAAUUUGCAGAAUUUGUUUGCAGACGGAGCAGUCUUUAAAACCUUUGCCACACACUUGACAAACCAUUCUCACUUCCACCAAUUCUGGACUUACAUUUGGAGGGAUUUACCAAAUUCUAAAGAAGUGUCUUCACUUCAAGAAUGUGAACAUGAAGUUUUAUUUUUAUCCUCAAUUUCUUGAAGCAUUUGAAAGGUAAAAUGCACAUAAAACAAUCAUUUGCUAAAUGCAUCCACCCCUCGGGGGCUCCGUCAACAGUUGUGUUGAUCUAGAUGCACAAAGCUUUCCUUUCCUUGUCACUUCCAAAAUUCUUGUCAAAGUUGUCAUCAAACUGAAGAUCUGACUCAUUUUUAGCUUAUCUGAGCAGGCUGUUCAGACCUGUCAGUUAUAAUUGUUCUUCCUAUUUCUCUAGUCAUUUUGGUUAAAAUUCCCCUAUCUGUACACGCCACCAAGCCUCCUCCCCCAUUUGUCCCACCUGUCACAGCUGGAUGUGGUAUUUGCUAAGACGUCCAGUUAUAAAUUCUCCUGCUUCAUUCUGGGUCUGGCUGGUCAUGGCACAGAUGCUGCUCAGUCAGGUCGGUGUUGGGCAACUGAAGCCUUUCCCUUCCUUUAAGAAUAUUUUCUAGGAGCACCUGGGUGGCUCAGUGAUUGAGCCUCUGCCUUCGGCUCCUGAGAUUGAGUCCCACAUGGGGCUCCCUGUGAGGAGCCUGCUUCUCCUUCUGCCAGUGUCUCUGCCUCUCUCUCUGUGUUUCUGAUGAAUAAAUAAAUAAAAUCUUAAAAAAAUUUUUCUGAAUUGAUGAGGUUUCUUGUAGGUGAUUUUUUUUUCCUAUAUGUUGAUAACGUUUUUAUGAAAAAAAAAAGAUUGAUGGAUAUUGCAGGAUGGUUCUGGACUUUGUUAGCUAUUUUCCCAAAUCUGGGGUGUAUGCUCAUUAUCUUUUCUAAAACAUAAUUAUGUUAUAAAGCCCGUACAUUCUAUCUGUGUAAUGGUAGAGAACUUGACACAUGGGAGGCACUUACUGUUUUCAUUGUUGCUGCUUAGUUUUCUCUUUUAUUUGGUUAAAAACUGAGGUGCAAAAUAAUGAGUUUUCCAUAUGAAUAGUUGAAGCCAGAAAAAACUGUGGAUACUGAUUUUUGAGGAUGAUCAGUUCCUGAUGUAAAGAAAAACAUCACAACGAACCAGGCACUUGGAAACGUGGUGCAGGUGCAAAGAUCAAUACAUCGUCGCAGCCAGUCUCUGUACUCUGGGGGCUUUACACACACAUAACUG
This 4205-nucleotide long non-coding RNA is filed under the name Canis lupus familiaris (dog). RNAcentral describes it as "lncRNA (ENSCAFG00000056778.1)". Lineage: Eukaryota; Metazoa; Chordata; Mammalia; Carnivora; Canidae. The record is from RNAcentral.